This 497-nucleotide ribosomal RNA is filed under the name uncultured bacterium. Its description in RNAcentral is "partial 16S ribosomal RNA". It matches the Rfam family "Bacterial small subunit ribosomal RNA", at positions 28 to 507 of the family's 1533-position model. The record is from RNAcentral.
GAUGAACGCUGGCGGCGUGCCUAAUACAUGCAAGUCGAGCGAACAGACGAGGAGCUUGCUCCUCUGAUGUUAGCGGCGGACGGGUGAGUAACACGUGGAUAACCUACCUAUAAGACUGGGAUAACUUCGGGAAACCGGAGCUAAUACCGGAUAACAUGUUGAACCGCAUGGUUCAACAGUGAAAGACGGUCUUUCUGGCACUUAUAGAUGGAUCCGCGCCGCAUGAGCUAGUUGGUAAGGUAACGGCUUACCAAGGCAACGAUGCGUAGCCGACCUGAGAGGGUGAUAGGCCACACUGGAAGUGGGACACGGUCCAGACUCCUACGGGAGGCAGCAGUAGGGAAUCUUACGCAAUGGGCGAAAGCCUGACGGAGCAACGCCGCGUGAGUGAAGAAGGUCUUCGGAUCGUAAAACUCUGUUAUUAGGGAAGAACAAAUGUGUAAGUAACUAUGCACGUCUUGACGGUACCUAAUCAGAAAGCCACGGCUAACUACGUG